GCUGCAUGGCCGUCGUCAGCUCGUGCCGUGAGGUGUUGGGUUAAGUCCCGCAACGAGCGCAACCCCGCCGUUAGUUGCCAGGCGGUUCGGCCGGGCACUCUAACGGGACUGCCCGCGAAAGCGGGAGGAAGGAGGGGACGACGUCUGGUCAGCAUGGCCCUUAUAGGUGGGGCUACACACGUCAUACAAUGGCCGGUACAGAGGGUAGCCAACCCGCGAGGGGGAGCCAAUCCCACAAAGCCGGUCGUAGUCCGGAUCGCAGUCUGCAACUCGACUGCGUGAAGUCGGAAUCGCUAGUAAUCGCGGAUCAGCAUGUCGCGGUGAAUACGUUCCCGGGUCUU
RNAcentral lists this ribosomal RNA (341 nucleotides) under uncultured Caldimonas sp. RNAcentral describes it as "bacterial SSU rRNA". It matches the Rfam family "Bacterial small subunit ribosomal RNA", at positions 1040 to 1382 of the family's 1533-position model. Lineage: Bacteria; Pseudomonadati; Pseudomonadota; Betaproteobacteria; Burkholderiales; Sphaerotilaceae. The record is from RNAcentral.